This is a long non-coding RNA of Dermacentor andersoni, 371 nucleotides long. RefSeq lists it as uncharacterized. Lineage: Eukaryota; Metazoa; Arthropoda; Arachnida; Ixodida; Ixodidae. The record is from RefSeq and is a predicted model, not a curated record.
CCGGUGCUGACGUCAGCCACGUCGCAUUCUCCUUCCGUCGGUGCAGCAGUGUUGGUGCGCCGGGCCACGUGAUUCCUAGGUUGGGAUAACUGGAAGGGGUCUCAAGUCGAAGACAUGGACGGCUUGCUCGGGAAAUACCUCUUCGGGAUGGUUGCUGCCGUACUCGCUACGCUGAUUAUGGCCCCAAAUGAAGCUGGGGCAAUUCCACCUUUUCUCUGGCCCACGGGACGAAAUGAAGACAAUGUCGAGUAACGAAGCAUCAGUCUUCGGGAUACAAUGGUGCUGGUUCACGUUCCCUUGACGACACCUGCUACGUAACUAAAUAAAAUGAAUGAAGCAAAAAUACCCUGGAAUGAAUAAACAGGACAUUA